Molecule: ribosomal RNA, 788 nt
Filed under: uncultured bacterium
Lineage: Bacteria
Description: bacterial SSU rRNA
Rfam family: Bacterial small subunit ribosomal RNA
Source: RNAcentral
GUGAGGAACCUGCCUCAAAGAGGGGGACAACAGUUGGAAACGACUGCUAAUACCGCAUAAGCCCACGGGUCGGCAUCGACCUGAGGGAAAAGGAGCAAUCCGCUUUGAGAUGGCCUCGCGUCCGAUUAGCUAGUUGGUGAGGUAACGGCCCACCAAGGCGACGAUCGGUAGCCGGACUGAGAGGUUGAACGGCCACAUUGGGACUGAGACACGGCCCAGACUCCUACGGGAGGCAGCAGUGGGGAAUAUUGCACAAUGGGGGAAACCCUGAUGCAGCGACGCCGCGUGGAGGAAGAAGGUCUUCGGAUUGUAAACUCCUGUUGUUGAGGAAGAUAAUGACGGUACUCAACAAGGAAGUGACGGCUAACUACGUGCCAGCAGCCGCGGUAAAACGUAGGUCACAAGCGUUGUCCGGAAUUACUGGGUGUAAAGGGAGCGCAGGCGGGAAGACAAGUUGGAAGUGAAAUCUAUGGGCUUAACCCAUAAACUGCUUUCAAAACUGUUUUUCUUGAGUAGUGCAGAGGUAGGCGGAAUUCCCGGUGUAGCGGUGGAAUGCGUAGAUAUCGGGAGGAACACCAGUGGCGAAGGCGGCCUACUGGGCACCAACUGACGCUGAGGCUCGAAAGUGUGGGUAGCAAACAGGAUUAGAUACCCUGGUAGUCCACACUGUAAACGAUGAUUACUAGGUGUUGGAGGAUUGACCCCUUCAGUGCCGCAGUUAACACAAUAAGUAAUCCACCUGGGGAGUACGACCGCAAGGUUGAAACUCAAAGGAAUUGACGGGGGCC